Apodemus sylvaticus (European woodmouse) is the source of this 137-nucleotide small nucleolar RNA. RefSeq annotates it as small nucleolar RNA SNORA17. The transcript has a single exon. The record is from RefSeq and is a predicted model, not a curated record. NCBI's taxonomy places the organism in Eukaryota, Metazoa, Chordata, Mammalia, Rodentia, Muridae.
UCUGGCUUAAAAAGAGGGGUAUAUUACAGAUGUGUCUGCUAUGUCACAUGUGUGCCAGUAGGUGGCAGAAACUAUAGAAGCUAUGUCUAUACUUGGUUUUGAUCUGUGAUCAUUUGAAUGAUUAGUAAUCUUAACAU